UAUACUGUUUUGCACCUCCUUUUUUGAUUAAUAAUUUACUUGGAGAUCUUUUCCAUAUUAUCAUAUAAUCUCUCUCUCUCUCUCUCUCUCUCUCUCUCUCUCUCUCUCUCUCUUUCUCUCGGUUUUUAGUGUCACUGACUAAUGACCCAUUGCUUGGAUGAUUGUAAUCUAUCUAAUCCCUAGUAACCUCUUUAUAGACAUUUGGGUUCUUUCCAAUAUUUUGCUAUUAUAGAUACUGAUACACUGGAAAACUUGAAUAUAUUUCAUUGAACAUGUCUGCAGGUGCAGCAACAGGAUUAAUUCCGAAAUUUAAAUAGAUCCAAAGUUACGUAAGUUUAUCAUUUUGAUAGGUCUUAUCAAAAUGCCCUCUAUAAUAAUUGUACCAUUUCAGGGCUUCCUAAGCUUUUCCGCAUCAUGACAGUCAUAGUAAAGGAAACCACUAGCAUUGGGAUGAACCGGAAAGGAUUUGGAGCCCUACAAAAGUGACUUGUGGCUAACGGAACAAGCCUACGAGGUCUCACAAGCCAGAGACCAUCCCAGCUGCCAGAGACCCCAGAGGAGCUCAGCACCUUCCAGCACAGUGGCUGGGAACUCUGUGACAACACAUUUCCAUCAGCAAUGUCAGGGGAAAAAGGACUAUGAUGACUUUCUCAGUCAUGUUUAUGCAACAAUUCUGUGCUUUGGAAGAGUUAAGCAAGACUGGGGAACUUAUGGCUAGCUUUCCACAGAUGGACUGUAAACUCUGAGAAGCAAAUCCACUGCUAUGAUAAGACCAUGAAAACCUGAGGUCUCCAAGGAUGAUCCUGGAGUAAAUAUCUAAAGAGUCAGCAUAAAUGAUGGAAACCAAAAGAACUGUAGGAGUUCAGAUGAAGAGAAAAUUAUGUGUUGACAGGAACAAUGAUUGAGGAGGUUAUAUGGGAACAGAGAUCAGAAGGAUUCAUUGGAGGCUUCAGUAAAGCGAACUUGUGUUCUUCCUUUAAUUUUUUGGUCUAAGAACCUCGGAAAAUUCUUUCUCACUUGCCAUUCUAUGUUACUGGUUGCUUUUCACCUACUUCAGGAUAUGUCAAACUGUGAAGAAAAUGGAAAGAGGUAGAACCAGUUGAGGAGGAGGAAAAAGGUUUUGGAAUAAAAAAAAUAUAUAU
RNAcentral lists this long non-coding RNA (1142 nucleotides) under Felis catus (domestic cat). Its description in RNAcentral is "lncRNA (ENSFCAG00000053187.1)". The record is from RNAcentral. Lineage: Eukaryota; Metazoa; Chordata; Mammalia; Carnivora; Felidae.